GGCCGGCUGGCGAAAUGGUAUCGCGUCAGAUUUCGGCUCUGAAGAUUGCAGGUUCGAGCCCUGCGUCGGUCG
Molecule: transfer RNA, 72 nt
Filed under: Pestalotiopsis fici W106-1
Lineage: Eukaryota; Fungi; Ascomycota; Sordariomycetes; Amphisphaeriales; Sporocadaceae
Description: tRNA-Arg (TCG) (tRNA-Arg-TCG-2-1)
Rfam family: tRNA
About the family: Transfer RNA (tRNA) molecules are approximately 80 nucleotides in length. Their secondary structure includes four short double-helical elements and three loops (D, anti-codon, and T loops).
Source: RNAcentral